CCCCAUUUUAUUUCAGAUCCCUCACCUCAGCUAGAGCCUUCUUCUUCCUUACUCUUAUAAUGGCGAUUCGAGUCCUAUCUUCAGAGAAAUCGGUGUGGACAGAAAAAACCUUCGCUAUUUAGCCCUUUCUCUCAAACAUUCGGACCGGAAGUUCGAUUCAAGAAAUUCUGUCCGUGAAAUCCAGAAAGAGAAACCUUCGAUUCGGGCCCUAUCAUCAGAGAAAUCGGUGUGGGCAGAAAAAACCUUCGAGUUUCUCACCACGGCUUAUUUUGUCUUUGUCUUGGCGAUGAAAGGGGUAUUCUUGCCGCAUGUGGCUGGAGGAAGUUCACUGGUUCUUUGGAUCUUCUACAAGGGGAAGUCCAUGUGAAUGCUCCUCCCCAAGUGAAAACCGGUUGAGCCACCCAAUCUUGGGUCUUUCCGUCUUCUCUCUUGUUCUAUCUUAUAAAUCCUUUUGGUUUUACAGAGUUUCUUCAAUUCGUGUUGAUAUUUAUCUUUUUUAUUUCCUGAAGUUUUCUCCCAUUUUUCUCACCCCUUGUCUUAUUUUGUCUUUGUUUUGUGGCGUUAGUUUUUUUGGCGAUGAAAUGUUUAUUCUUGGCACAUUUGGCUGCGGAAGAAUUGGGCUAGUGAAUUUAGUAGUUUCCGUCCUGACUUGAAAACUCUUCGAUACCGGGGAGAACUACAAGAGCAGACAAUACCGCGGAAUAAUAUCAAUCCGAAGGUCAUGUAUCGAAGGUAAUAUUCUUGUUGAAUGUUCUAUAAUGUGCAUGUGGGAUGUGCUGUUUGUGGGUUCCAUUGCAGAUGCUGUAGAAGGAUAUUUCCGAACCUUGAGUAAUAGAUUUGCAUUCCCGAUGGUUUUUAGUCUCCUGACCUUAAAACCCAGAAAGAGAAUAGAGACUCGUUGCCUAAUCAUUAGGAUAGAUAUGCAAUUCUGAUAGGGAAUGUGUUCUUCAGAAGAUAAUGUUGUAGCAGAGAGAGUUUGCAACCGCUUUAGACUUCUGUUUCUCAUGAGGAACAGCACUUCAAGGUAAUCUCCCAAGAUUUUCGGUGUAAUACUUGAUAUUGUUUACUUUGUUUUCAUGUUUCUUGGGGAAGACAUUGGCUGCUUUUCGUCGUGUCUUAACAUUUGUUAGGCUGUGUUGUUUAGAUAACUAGAGUUUAGAUGCUUGUCUAUCUCCCGCUUACUCUUGGCGAUGCAUUUGAGUCGAACCUGUUCGAUAUUAGACACAUCUAAGGCUUGAUUUCUGUUUUUGAAUGCCGAUUCAUCAUUUGGCAUUGUUAUUCUGGCACUCUCUUCCCUGCUCGCUCAUUCAACUAAUGUCUACCUAUAUGCUCUCUGUUUCAUUGCUAUUGAAAUGAUAUCUUUUUGUUAGGUGAACAGUUUCAAGUUGAACUGUGAGUUGUGCCAGGCAAUAUCCAUCCAGGCCUUUUAUAUUGAUCUGUGUAGAUGCUGCAGAAGGAUGCUGCUUCACAAACCUUUGGGAUUGGGAUAAUAGAUUUCUGUGUUGAUUUGAUUCCCUUGAAGAGCUUGUGAAUCUCGUUCACUAAAUUUGUCUGUUCAUAGGGUCAAAGAGGAGGGAAUUCCCAAUGCUUGUUAUUCUUGUUUUCUCAAUCAUUUAUGUGACUACCUCAAUGUAUACGUACGUAUGCAUGUAUAUACGUAUGUGUGUGUA
Molecule: RNA transcript, 1670 nt
Organism: Tarenaya hassleriana
Lineage: Eukaryota; Viridiplantae; Streptophyta; Magnoliopsida; Brassicales; Cleomaceae
Exons: 4
Source: RefSeq, a predicted model, not a curated record